RNAcentral lists this long non-coding RNA (5175 nucleotides) under Sus scrofa (pig). RNAcentral describes it as "lncRNA (ENSSSCG00045015838.1)". The record is from RNAcentral. Lineage: Eukaryota; Metazoa; Chordata; Mammalia; Artiodactyla; Suidae.
CCCCCCCACCCCCAGCCCCUCCCAUCUCGACGAGGCCUUCCCUCCCUCUUCCUAACCUGGCCUUCUCUGAGCCUCCAGGCGACCCCUGCCUCCUUUCUCGUCACUCUCUCUUUCCUUUCACAGCCAAGCUUCUCGAAAGGUCUGUCUUCACUCGCUGGCUUCCUUGCUCACCUCCAAUGUCCUCUCCAACCCACUGCUUCUUGACCUCUGCGCCGUCGAGCGGCUCUCGCGAAGGUAAUGACUUUUCUGGAGCUUCACCCCCGACACGUCUCUGGCGCACGGACACAUGGACACACAGACACACGCUCCGCAGACACAUCUGGUCUUCCUCGUACAUGCCUUGUGGCUCUGACUCCCUUCUGUUGACAGACGCCCCCUCUCCCCUCUCUGGAGACGUCUUAGAGUCACCUGCUCCUGGCCUCUGUCCUUCUUAGCCUCUCCCAGGAAUAGCCAGACCUCCCACCUUCUGGAACCUGCCUGGGUUGGAGUCUGAACCACUGAGCGCUGAGGCCUUGGGGUAGGUCACUGUUUUCCAGCCACCUCUUUCUCAGUUGUGGAAGUGAGGUCUUUCCCUAGCAGGCCCGGUGGGCUCUCUUGCAGGGAGGGACCAGGGACUUGAGGUCAAGAAAGGGCUCGUGGGAACAUGCAGUUGGGGUCGCCGUCAGCUUUUUCUCACAGGUUAAGUGCCCUCAGGGAGGACCAGUGAGAGAAGACGGUGGUGGGGGGGGAAGAAAGCAAAAAAGAGAAAGGGAAAAGGAACCAAGGACCAAAAAAAUAAAAGUGGGGAAGGGAGCCUUGGAAAAGAUUAAAAUCCACCCCAAACACAUCCAGGGAAAAUUUUCUUCCUGGGUUAGGGGCGAAGAAUGUACAUGGGAAAAAAGGUUUUAAAUUGAUGAUCCCAGCAACAAAUCCCAGGAGGCUUUCAAGUCAACUCGCCCCAUUUUGUGUUUUUAACUCCUUCUGUCAGGUCUCACCUCUUUACCUUCUGCAUCCCAGUUAAACCUUCCUCGGCCCCCUUGGCUGGUGAUUAAACCCCGAAGGUACACGGGGCCGACAGAAAGGGCCCCGCCCCGCCCCCCAGCUGUGUUUUUCAAUUUUCCUCCACUUCGUGCCCUUCAUGAACACAGGGCUAAUCUUGGGCCCUUGUCGAGGAAGAGGCUGAUGAAGUAGCUGCUGGGUUCCAAUAUUCAACUCCCAAGGCGCCUUCUUUGUCUGAGAAGGAAAAACACACUGGUCACCACAAUAAGGUGAACUGGUGGCCGUGGGGCGGGGGCCACGGGCCUGAGGCCACCCUUGCAAUAUGGGGGCCGGAGCCCAGUGUCCACCUGCUCCCCAUUUGUCCCUGCCUCUGUCCCUGCUCAUGGUCCCAUCCUGCGGGGUUGAAAGCUGAAGGCAGCUCUGGGCCACGGAUAGGGCUGCUUGGUAGAAAGUUCCUUUGUUUGACCCCCCAGUGGGCCGGGGCGAGCCAAGCCCUGGGGGUGCUGUUUCCAGUCCUUGCUCGUCCCCGACGUGUUUCAGGACUGCCUAGCAUGAAACAUUUGAGAUUCUCAGACGAGAGAAAAGUCAGGUCAAGGGUAUAGACCCUGCGGCAUUAUCACGGAGUCAGUGGCCAAAGGCCCCGUCCAGGUCAAGAAGUGAGCGGGCAGUGGUACCCACAGCCCCCCUCCCCCCCAUGGAAGGGCACGAUUCAGGCUGGCAUUUGGCCCCCACACACUGAUGAGACUGAGGUUCAGAGGGCCAGACGUUUGUCAGGAUCAUUCAGAUCCGACACGAGAACCUGUCGCCACUCCUACCCCCCAAACGUCGCCCCCCCCCCCGUAUGUCCUGGGCCCCACCUGAAUCCCCAGUCCCCCCCUUUCUGUCCUGAUCCUUGACCGCCAGCGUCCAUGAAUAGAAACCUGCCUGUGUUUUUUUUAAAUUGUUUUUAUUACAGUUAAUGGACAAUGUCCUGUCAAUUUCUGCGAUGCCGCAGAGUGACCCAGUCAUACGUAGACAAAUACGUCUGUGCAUAUUCUUUCUCUCACAUUCGCCUCCAUCGUGUUCCAUCACAAGCGAGUAGACAGAGUUCCCUGUGCUGCCCAGCAGGGAAACCUGCCCUUAGGAAUCCUGAGUUCUGGGCAUUUUGCCCCCUAAGGUCGCUGAAUCAAGGUUAGAUCACGCCAGUUAAUUUCCAGGCUCCAGCGAGAUCUUCAGCCGAACAGAAAAAAACUAAGGGAGAUGUGAGAUGUUUGGAGCAAGAAACUUUUAUUAGGUGAAAAGCCCUCCCUUCUUGAACUUAGCUGUUGGCAUGCGUGGAUCAGAAUUAGAUGCUCUUUGCAAGUUAGCAAAAGCAACCCUAGUCCCCUCCGCUAAAUGCCAUCAAAGGAUGUCCAGGGGGCCGGUUGGGGUGACCGCCUCUUUUGGCGGCGGUGACCCACGUGUUGCCCAGACCUGGGAACUGGAUGAGGGCGAGCACCUUUGAGAGUAGGGAUCCCACGAAAACCUACCCUCCGUGCAGCUUUUGCAGAGUAAAAUAAUAGAGCAGUUGCUGGUGUUUCUAAAAAGAUUUCACUUUAUUAAUUUGUUUUUAUUACUGUUGAUUCACAAUGUUCUGUCAAGUAAGAGGAUUUAUUUUAAAUAGGAAAAAAAAAUCCAUAGGACCGUCAACUACAUACCAAUAAGGAAAACCAAGUCCUGAAUAUUCUGGCAUUUGAGAAGCUGGGGAGGGGUGCAGGCAGUUGUGUGCUGAGCCCCCCAGCAGAGGGGUCUGUGUGAAUUGCUCAGCCUCGGGUGUGGAGGGGCCGGUUUUAACCUGUGUCCUUGUUUCUGUGGCACACGGGACCCCUGGGCCCCACUCUCCAAGCCCAGAGGUCCUGCCAGGCUUCCUGCCUUGGUCUUCCGACUCCCAGGGCCCACGGGUUCCAGAAUCCAUCAUGAAAUCAGUCCUGGAGGCUCAGGAGUGAGGCCAGGAGACACCCCCCCUUUCUUCUGAUUUUCCGUUUUGUUUUUUGUUUUUUUCUGCUGUUACUGCUCUCCCUCUGUUCUCCACCCUGGCUUCUCUCCCUUACUCUAUCACCAUGUCCUAGUCUGGUCCCCUGGGGGUGCCCGAGUCCAGCCCACUCCUCCUUGGGGUGUCCCAGCACCAGCCUGGCACCAAGUGGGGUUCAGUAAGAGUAUGUGGGAUGUCUGCUUGGACAGGUGAGUCAAUGAAGGAACUCGACUGCCCGACUCAGCUGCUAGACGGGAGUUGUGGGGACGGCAGGGAGUUGCAGGUCCGGGGGGAGGGUGGAUGUACUUUCCCUGAGAGGAGUGGGCGCCGCCCACCCCCAGCCCCGUUUGAGUGGGGCCUCACCAGUGUCACCCCUUCAUUCACUCACGCGUCCACCCCGUCAUUCAACAGUUGAUCCUUACUGAGCAAGCCCACCGCCUGGCCCCGGGCUGGGCACCUGCCACGCUAGGGCGUCCCUUGAUGGCCUCUACCUCCCCAGGAGGGCGGGCCGGGGGGCUGCUUCUGCUGAGGGUGGCCUUGCGACUCCAGGGCGCUGGAGCAGCAGCUCCUGCUCCGGAGAGAAGGCAGCGGGAGGAGGGUGCGAGGGGUGGGCUGGUUUGCCUCCGGCCAGUGGGCCUCCUUUUCAGUCAACUCCCCCCUGCUCCAGGGGGAGCCUUGAACCUGCCCUUCUCUAGGGCUCUGCUGCCGGCCCGAGCCAGCCCCUCCUGCCCGCUUGGCCUCCCCCUGCCCCCCAAGACCCACCCCAUGGCUGAGUGCUGAUGACUCUUCUGGACCCUCAGCCCUGAAGUUCAGGACUGAGGUGGGGGCACAGGGACAGCUGUGGUUCAUGCGUGUCCCCUCGGGCUCUGGUCCCACAGGUCUCCUUCUGGAGUUGGGGUCUGUGAGCUGGACCCCUCCCUCCGUGACGCCUUCCUCCCUCCUCUGCGCCCCCAGUCGUUGGCUGGGGCCUGUCCAGGGCAAAGGGCAGAUGACUGGGGGACCUCCAGGGAGCGUUGCAGGCUCUGCCAAGGCCUGGCUGCCCACCUGUUCUCUACCUGGCGGUUCCUUCCCUGCCUCCCUCCCCCCAGCCAGGGUGCCUGCCCACCUGGAGCUCUGCUUGCCCGGCCCGCCCCUCUGUGCCCCCUGUCACUGGGCUCAGGAUCUUCUGGGUCCUGGCUGUGCCGCCCUCUGCCUAACAGGUUGUUUUUCCCGCUGCCUCGCCCACCUCCCACCUGCGUGCCUUUUGCCCUCCCCGUCCCCCGGUGCAAGGAAGCCCUCCCCGCUCAGGGCCGCCCAAGUUUCCAGCGGGUCUCCGGUGCCCCGGGAUAAGCCCGAGCUGGCCCGCCACCUCCCCCGGUCAUCCUCAGAUGCCUCUUCUCCCGGCCGUGGCCCCUCAGGGUCUUAGUGACGGUGGGCUACAACCAGAUUUUUGUCCUGCUCCCCUCCCCACACCCCCUAGACCCCUCGUCAUCGGGUCCUGCUGGGCCUGCCCAGAUGGCUGCCCUGUCCCCCUGAGUCCCAGGCCCUGCCCCACCCCAGGCCCCGUGGCCAGUCUGGGGGCUGCCACCCGGCCUGUCGCCUCUCUUCUUGCACCUCUUCCCAUCACGGCAUCCCCACGAGCCACCUCCCUCCACAGAAAUCCAAGCCGCAGGUCGGCCUGUCCUCGACACACUGGCAGCGAGCGUCGGCUGAAGAACCGGAUGGAAGAGGCGGGAGAGUCACCACGGACUGGCGUUCCUUCAGGUCGGUCGCCUGGCGUCUUCGGGCUGCGACUCCUUCCCGGAUCGGGCUGAAGCCAUCAUCUGUGUCCUCCGUCGGAAGGGACCUCAGACAUGUGGCUCCUGCACCCUCCAGCUCUGAAAUCCCUCUGCAGCCACGGGGACACCUGCACACGUUCCCAAAGACUCUGGACCUGGGCGGCCCCCUGCGAGGAGGGGCGUGUCCUCCCCGCCACCCCUGGGUGGCCGCCCGCCCUCUGACUGGUGGACUUCGCUGAUCUGAGUGUCAGACCCACGGGCUUGACCCCUACCCAACCCCUCCUGAACCCUGAGACGUGGGAGCGCCGCGCCUCGCCGUCCGCAUCUGUGAAAUGGGCGCAGACCCCUACCUCACAGGGCUGUUGUGAGGCGCGUGUGACGCGGUUUGGAAGUGCCCCACCUGGGGGCUUGGCACAGCCAUUGUGCUCUCAAUAAAUGUGUUUCUUGCCU